UCGUAACAAGGUCUCCGUUGGUGAACCAGCGGAGGGAUCAUUACUGAGUUUACGCUCUACAACCCUUUGUGAACAUACCUAUAACUGUUGCUUCGGCGGGUAGGGUCUCCGUGACCCUCCCGGCCUCCCGCCCCCGGGCGGGUCGGCGCCCGCCGGAGGAUAACCAAACUCUGAUUUAACGACGUUUCUUCUGAGUGGUACAAGCAAAUAAUCAAAACUUUUAACAACGGAUCUCUUGGUUCUGGCAUCGAUGAAGAACGCAGCGAAAUGCGAUAAGUAAUGUGAAUUGCAGAAUUCAGUGAAUCAUCGAAUCUUUGAACGCACAUUGCGCCCGCCAGCAUUCUGGCGGGCAUGCCUGUUCGAGCGUCAUUUCAACCCUCAAGCUCUGCUUGGUGUUGGGGCCCUACAGCCGAUGUAGGCCCUCAAAGGUAGUGGCGGACCCUCCCGGAGCCUCCUUUGCGUAGUAACUUUACGUCUCGCACUGGGAUCCGGAGGGACUCUUGCCGUAAAACCCCCAAUUUUCCAAAGGUUGACCUCGGAUCAGGUAGGAAUACCCGCUGAACUUAAGCAUAUCAA
This 576-nucleotide ribosomal RNA is filed under the name Colletotrichum sp. ICMP 17323. Its description in RNAcentral is "eukaryotic LSU rRNA". The stretch from base 216 to 369 matches the Rfam family "5.8S ribosomal RNA". The record is from RNAcentral. Lineage: Eukaryota; Fungi; Ascomycota; Sordariomycetes; Glomerellales; Glomerellaceae. RNAcentral also lists the same sequence under 4 other names.